RNAcentral lists this ribosomal RNA (537 nucleotides) under Pseudoalteromonas shioyasakiensis. RNAcentral describes it as "partial 23S ribosomal RNA". It matches the Rfam family "Bacterial large subunit ribosomal RNA", at positions 487 to 1025 of the family's 2925-position model. The record is from RNAcentral. Lineage: Bacteria; Pseudomonadati; Pseudomonadota; Gammaproteobacteria; Alteromonadales; Pseudoalteromonadaceae.
AUAGUGCACCAGUACCGUGAGGGAAAGGUGAAAAGCACCCCGGGAGGGGAGUGAAAGAGAACCUGAAACCGUGUGCCUACAAGUAGUCAGAGCCCGUUGAUGGGUGAUGGCGUGCCUUUUGUAGAAUGAACCGGCGAGUUACGAUCUCGUGCGAGGUUAAGUCGAAAAGACGGAGCCGUAGCGAAAGCGAGUCUGAAUAGGGCGUAUAGUACGAGGUCGUAGACCCGAAACCAGGUGAUCUACCCAUGUCCAGGGUGAAGGUAGGGUAAUACCUACUGGAGGCCCGAACCCACGCACGUUGAAAAGUGCGGGGAUGAGGUGUGGGUAGGGGUGAAAUGCCAAUCGAACUUGGAGAUAGCUGGUUCUCCCCGAAAUAGCUUUAGGGCUAGCCUCGGGUUUGAGAGUCUUGGAGGUAGAGCACUGAUUGGACUAGGGGCCCCAAACGGGUUACCGAACCCAGUCAAACUCCGAAUGCCAAUGACUUAUGCCCGGGAGUCAGACUGCGAGUGAUAAGAUCCGUGGUCGAGAGGGGAACAG